UACGGGGGGGGCAAGCGUUGUUCGGAAUUACUGGGCGUAAAGGGCUCGUAGGUGGCCAACUAAGUCGGACGUGAAAUCCCUCGGCUUAACCGGGGAACUGCGUCUGAUACUGGAUGGCUUGAGUUUGGGAGAGGGAUGCGGAAUUCCAGGUGUAGCGGUGAAAUGCGUAGAUAUCUGGAGGAACACCGGUGGCGAAGGCGGCAUCCUGGACCAACACUGACGCUGAGGAGCGAAAGCCAGGGGAGCAAACGGGG
This 254-nucleotide ribosomal RNA is filed under the name uncultured bacterium. RNAcentral describes it as "partial 16S ribosomal RNA". It matches the Rfam family "Bacterial small subunit ribosomal RNA", at positions 524 to 777 of the family's 1533-position model. The record is from RNAcentral.